RNAcentral lists this ribosomal RNA (441 nucleotides) under uncultured bacterium. RNAcentral describes it as "partial 16S ribosomal RNA". It matches the Rfam family "Bacterial small subunit ribosomal RNA", at positions 338 to 795 of the family's 1533-position model. The record is from RNAcentral.
CCUACGGGUGGCAGCAGUGGGGAAUAUUGCACAAUGGGGGAAACCCUGAUGCAGCGACGCCGCGUGAGUGAAGAAGUAUUUCGGUAUGUAAAGCUCUAUCAGCAGGAACGAGACAAGACGGUACUUUACAAGAAAGCCCCGGCUAACUAUGUGCCAGCAGCCGCGGUAAGACAUAGGGGGCAAGCGUUGUUCGGAAUUACUGGGCGUAGAGGGAGCGGAGGCGGGAGAUUAAGUUAAGAGUGAAAGCCUUGGGCUCAACCCAAGAAAUGAUCUUAAUACUGGUUUUCUAGAGUGUGGGAGAGGUAAGUGGAAUUCCUAGUGUAGCGGUAGAAUGCGUAGAGAUUAGGAGGAACAUCAGAGGCGAAGGCGGCUUACUGGACCAUAACUGACGCUGAGGCUCGAAAGCGUGGGGAGCAAACAGGAUUAGAUACCCCGGUAGUC